AUACGGAGGGUGCAAGCGUUGUUCGGAAUUACUGGGCGUAAAGCGCGCGUAGGUGGUCUGUUAUGUCAGAUGUGAAAGUCCGCGGCUCAACCGUGGAAGUGCAUUUGGAACUGGCAGACUUGAGUACUGGAGGGGGUAGUGGAAUUCCCGGUGUAGAGGUGAAAUUCGUAGAUAUCGGGAGGAAUACCGGUGGCGAAGGCGACUACCUGGCCAGAUACUGACACUGAGGUGCGAAAGCGUGGGGAGCAAACAGGAUUAGAAACCCCGGUAGUCC
This 274-nucleotide ribosomal RNA is filed under the name uncultured bacterium. RNAcentral's name for it is "partial 16S ribosomal RNA". It matches the Rfam family "Bacterial small subunit ribosomal RNA", at positions 523 to 796 of the family's 1533-position model. The record is from RNAcentral.